GAAGACCCCCUCAUGUUAAUUUCACUCGUAAGCCGAUGGUGUCGUGGGUUUUCUCAAUGUACCCCCUGUGGAGAGGCCAUGUACCCCCAGGGGUCCUAGUACCCCAGGUUGGGAACCACUGCAUUACACUAUAUCAUUUAAAUGGACAUUCGUUUUGUGACGACAGUGUACAAAUACAUGAACACAGCAGAGCACAAUGCAAUAUUACAUCCCCACUAAUUUGAAGCCUGGCAUACUUGGGCCUAUGUCUGUAUUAUGGCCCGCUGUUUUGGCAGCCUGAUAGACACAUAGAGUGAGAUGGAGACUUUGAUGUCAGGGUGGAAGGUGGAAAAGUCGGGGGAAGAGAGACGUAUUGCGGAAACAAGGAUGUUGUUGAAACGGGAAAGUGUUGUAUCACACACAACUAGAUUAAAAUGUUAUUGUGGUACCAUUCUAACUGCCCACAAACCUGCUUAUCUCCAACUUCUCAUUGUAGCCAGAGCAGUAAUAUUGUCCUGCAGAACUCUGCUUUAGUGAAUGGGUGUGUCCGUUGUCAGUGUCUGUGAGAGAACCUUUGUCAAACCAUUUUUUCAAAUGACAAUCAUGUUGCUGUUUAGUGCAUGUAAACACCUAUGUUAAAGUUAACCUAAGAUAUACAACCAAUGAACACCAGGCACAUAUCGCAGGGUUGCGAACACUAACAAAAUAACACACACAAACUAAGAGGCAGAGCAGACCGACUCUCACACACACCUCCACACUUUCACACUUAUUAGCCACUUACCUGCGGCUCAAACAUCCAGGGAAAAUCCACCCUCUUCUCCCCAUCAGACUUCUUGAAGAUGUAGGCCGAGUAGAGGGGGAUGUGUUUGUGGGGGUCGUAGAGGGUGACGAAGCAUGGCUUGUCCUCGUAACGCUGGCAGAUCUUUUUCAGGGGGCUGCUGAAUUGGUAGCCCCGCGGCGGGGUGCCCAUGUACAAGGAGUCCUUACAGCGCUCCACGUGGUUGAAGUCCUCCACCACGCCAGCCCGGGACCCCCGCAGACAACACAGUAGGACAGCCAGAGACAGACAAGAGGGGAUUGAUUGGUGUCUCAUGUUGCCUCACGAUGAUCCCAUUUCUCCCUCUGCCCUUCACACUACUGUAGCUGCUCUGUUUCAGCCUCUCGCUUUUUCCCUUGUAUUCCUUAUUAUGUUUCAUACAUGUCGACAGUAAGUCUCUCUGGGUCAGCCCAUCUCUACUCCCUAUUUCAGAGCCCUUUUACAUCUAUUCAAAGUGGCGAGCCAUGGUAGCAAAGUGAGAAGCAGUAUAAAUGUAUGUUAUCAGUUUUUAGCUUCCAAAAUGGCUACUUAGAACUACACCCAUCAACAGGUCAAGCACUGGUUAGAUGUCUUAUAAUAUGUCAUUUGUAAGCCUAUUUAACGCUUUCCUAUCUUCUCCUUCAUGCUUUCUGGAGCAGAACAAAGCUUUGUUUAGAUUAAAAUGUAGACUUCAAGAACAGUCUGAGACAAUAUGCAGACCUAACAUUGUCAUGUUUUACAUCACUGACUUGAUAUGGAUUUUGCUGCUGGAAUUAUUAUUAUGGGCUUCCAGUAAAUAUGCUUAUGGAUGUGUAGAAAAUGAAUGAUGCAUUGGGAAAUUAUUUGCAAUGACUCUAUUUCUACCCAUUACAGUGUUAUUAUUUUGGACCUGUUUGUUCUUUCACACAUUUAGUGUGAGGAGAGUGGGAGGUUUUAAUCAUAUAUUUUCAUAUCUGCUGUGUGUGUGACUACAACUGCACUUUAAAAAUGAAUAUUGAUGAAUACAUGUUAUUUUUAUUUUUUUACAGUUCAUUACUGAAUAUCACUCUG
Molecule: long non-coding RNA, 1828 nt
Organism: Esox lucius (northern pike)
Lineage: Eukaryota; Metazoa; Chordata; Actinopteri; Esociformes; Esocidae
Source: Ensembl